This 842-nucleotide ribosomal RNA is filed under the name Heteroscyphus succulentus. Its description in RNAcentral is "eukaryotic LSU rRNA". The stretch from base 380 to 533 matches the Rfam family "5.8S ribosomal RNA". Lineage: Eukaryota; Viridiplantae; Streptophyta; Jungermanniopsida; Jungermanniales; Lophocoleaceae. The record is from RNAcentral.
UGUACACACAAUGCAGCAAACUAGCGAAUUGUUGUUGUCCCUCGAGGGGCCUCACCCGGAGGUGAGGCCGUCGAUAGUGCGGAUCGGCCGAGAGGCUGGCCUGUGGGUGAGAUGGGUUCCUCGCUGUCGGCUGGAGUGUCCCACACUUGCGGUUCUCGUCGUCGGAGGCUGGCACCCCCCUCGUUGUGGGAGGGGGAGCGAGUUACCGGUGGCUGGGGUCGGGCCCUCCCCUCCCCCUUUGUCCCCGUCUUUGGGGGCUCUGGGGCCAUUUUUUCACAAGCACCUUGAGGAACAUGAACAAAGAGACUGAGCAUGGGGUUCGGGUGUACGUUGCCCUUUGCGGGGAGCGUAGAGCCGAAGCCGAAAAGCAAAAAAGAACGACUCUCAGCAACGGAUAUCUUGGCUCUUGCAACGAUGAAGAACGCAGCGAAAUGCGAUACCUAGUGUGAAUUGCAGAAUUCCGCGAAUCAUCGAGUCUUUGAACGCAAGUUGCGCCCGAGGCUUGUCCCGAGGGCAUGCCUGCCUGAGCGUCAUCGCACUCCCACCUGGAAACAUCUCCAGUGUGGAAAUGACUGUCCAGGACCCGAUGUCAAAAGCUAGGGGUUGUGGUCGGUUGAAAUGUAGCGAUCUGGAUGCAGCCGGGGAGAGAGGCCGCGAGAAGGUGAUCUGCUCUUUGCUGAGCGGAGUCUAAUUGGACAGCGCCUCUCCCUCUCGGUGGUCUGGUCGGCGGCUACGAGGGGGAGUCUAGAUAUUCCCUCCCUGCGUCAGUGGGGGGAGUGCGAGUAAAUUUGCACUUCCCUUCCUUGCAAAGCUUGGACCUCAGAUCAGGCAAGAUUACCCGC